Molecule: non-coding RNA, 2298 nt
Organism: Pelobates cultripes (western spadefoot toad)
Lineage: Eukaryota; Metazoa; Chordata; Amphibia; Anura; Pelobatidae
Source: the annotation of a GenBank genome assembly
CUUUCUUUAAUUUUCUACCAAUCCCUUCACAUUUCUCAGAGGCACAUUACGCUAUAGCUCAACUAAAAUUCCAGAUCUUUGAGCAUGUUGAAGAAAAAUUCAGACCUGGAGACAGAGAAAAGGUUAUUUAGAGAAGCUCAUUGCCUACAUCCAUGGUUAUACAUUAGCUCGCUAGCUCUCAGACAUUAGUCUGAGCGCAUGCGCGUGGAGGUUUCCGCAGCCGUUUAGUUGUACGCAUGGGCAUCCGGUUCGCGGAAAGCGAAAUGUCCUUGUUUCAUGGGGACUGAGACGUCAUUGCGCAGAUGUCUUCUCAUACUUUGAACGUCAUGACGCUGACGUUACGUACUUAGCGGAAAUGAAUCCUUUGGCGGUAACUUUACAGAUCUCUCCAUGUUUCAAUUUAAUUUAAUCACUUAAUUUAUUUACUUAUCUAAUCAGUAAUUUUGCGACCUGUGAGACAGCUGACAGUCUAUGUUUGGGUAAGCUACAUUGGAUUAUAUGAAUUUGACUCUCUUGAUUGUCUAAUUAUGUUAAUCACUUGUAUUCCUAUAAAAUGGUAUUUGUAUGUGCAUUUGAUAGCUUGACAAAGACAGUUCAGGUCGAAACGUUGUGAGUGGCGGUGGGUUCAAUAGAUUUUUUGUACUCUGGAGUGCCUGGACCUUUUUCGAUUUUUUGCCUUGUGUGUAAGUCAGUGAUUAUGUGUUUGGGUCUUUGUAUGCAUGUGUUUGGGUCUGUGACUGUGUGUGUAUGCAACCGUGUGUAUAGGUCUGUGAUUGUAUGCGUGUGUGGAACUGAUUAUGGGUGUAUGCAUGUGACUGUCUGUAAAGGUCUGUGAUUUGGCUCCGUCCUUAAGGGGUUAAUUUCACCUGAAUCGGUAUACGAACCAAACCAAACAGACUUUACCCUAGCUGGCUCGUAUACCGAACGUUCUACCAAACGCUUGGACCACCCAAAGCAGUCGUGUGCCGCCAAUUGACCUUAUUGACGCUGCUCUAAACAUUCUAAAUGGUUCACUGGGUGGCCGUCAAUUUGUAUGGACAAACACUUGCAUAAAGGGCCAGUGUAGCUACCGUUAAACCAUUCCUGCUUAACCCUCAACACGUAGCCUCGUCUCAUGAUUGUAGGUAACCGAUAUACAGCUAUACCAUCUUUGGUCGGCAGAGAUAUCAACUGGAGAAUACUACAGGACUGCGCCUACUAAGGGAAAAGGAAGUCUCUGGCGAGAUAUACCGCUUCACUCUUGGGGUGUCCGUCACAUGAUUGUAUGUGUGUGUAGGUCUGUGAUUAUAUAUGUUUGUGGCUCUGUGAUGAUAAGUGUGGUUAUGUGUGGAUAUGUAUAUACAUGUGUAUUUGUUUAGUAGAUAGCUCAUCCCACAUAAGGAUAAUAAAUAAGAGAGUUAUCUACUAAAUAGAUUUAAGAAAAGGGCUUCUGAAGUUUUAUUACAUAAAUCCAUUAUAUUAUAGAUUUCAUGUGUGGCCCAAGACAAUUCCUCUGUGCUCAAUGUGGCCCAGGGAAGCCAAAAGGUUGGACACCCAUGUUUUAAGUUAUUUAAAUAUGCAUAGGGAUUUGGGAUAGUGCACAAUUAACCCUAUGUUUUUAAUUGUAUGUAUUGGGGCUAUUAUGUACUAUUGCAUUGCUGCCGCCCAGGACUAGUGGGAGUUUGAGUGUAGGACUUAAUUUUGCAUAGAAGUAUUAAAAUGUGGUGUUUUAUUAGUCAGUUCCUGGACAGUUUUUGUGUUUCUGUGAUUCAUCCUCCUGUGACUUUUUUACCGCACAGAUUCAUCAGGAAAGCCCUGGAACCCUCAGCCAAAGUACUAGUCAUUUGCAACUGUUACGAUAAACGUGUUAACAGUACCAAGACUGCAGGUACAGUCUAUAAACACCAGAACCACUACAAAAGCUGUAGUGGUUUUGGUGAAUAUCAUGCCCCUUUAAGUGGGCUGUGAGAGCAUUAGAGAAGUCAGCAGACACUCUAAGCCUAUCACAGUCACCAAUAGCAGCUUGGGUAAUUGUGAAACAGCUUGAGCAGUAGAGAGGGUCAGCGGAUACCAACGGUCCUUUGACAGCAUUAACCUGUUCUAAAACCGUUUAACACUGACACAUGUGCCUGCACCAGGAAUAUCAGUGUACCAUAACCACUUUAGGUAAGUGGUUAUCGUACACAGACCUUUUCUCUUAAAAUUUUGUCAUAUUAUUGUUUUGUUAAAUUCACUAACUAAAUUAUGCAGGAUUUAGUAGGAUCUUUGUUCUGAGCCUAUUGAUUACAGUUUGUACCUAAAAUGGAUUUUAUAACCAUA